GGCUGGUCUGAGAGCAUUGGUGGUAACUGGAUCACAACCAGUUACAGAUUUCUUUGUUCCUUCUGCACUCUCACUGUUUCACUUAACUAGCCUAAA
RNAcentral lists this Y RNA (96 nucleotides) under Prolemur simus (greater bamboo lemur). RNAcentral describes it as "Y RNA (ENSPSMG00000010487.1)". It matches the Rfam family "Y RNA". Rfam says of the family: Y RNAs are components of the Ro ribonucleoprotein particle (Ro RNP), in association with Ro60 and La proteins. The Y RNAs and Ro60 and La proteins are well conserved, but the function of the Ro RNP is not known. In humans the RNA component can be one of four small RNAs -- hY1, hY3, hY4 and hY5. The record is from Rfam by way of RNAcentral. Lineage: Eukaryota; Metazoa; Chordata; Mammalia; Primates; Lemuridae.